RNAcentral lists this ribosomal RNA (460 nucleotides) under uncultured bacterium. RNAcentral's name for it is "partial 16S ribosomal RNA". It matches the Rfam family "Bacterial small subunit ribosomal RNA", at positions 338 to 795 of the family's 1533-position model. The record is from RNAcentral.
CCUACGGGUGGCAGCAGUGAGGAAUAUUGGUCAAUGGACGCAAGCCUGAACCAGCCAUGCCGCGUGCAGGAAGACGGCUCUAUGAGUUGUAAACCGCUUUUGUACGAGGGUAAAGGCAGAUACGCGUAUCUGUCUGAAAGUAUCGUACGAAAAAGGAACGGCUAAAUCCGUGCCAGCAGCCGCGGUAAUACGGAGGAUUCAAGCGUUAUCCGGAUUUAUUGGGUUUAAAGGGUGCGUAGGGGGUCGGAUAAGUUAGAGGUGAAAUCCCGAGGCGCAACUUCGGAAUUGCCUCUGAUACUGUUCGGCUAGAGAGUAGUAGCGGUAGGCGGAAUGUAUGGUGUAGCGGUGAAAUGCUUAGAGAUCAUACAGAACACCGAUUGCGAAGGCAGCUUACCAGGCUACUUCUGACGUUGAGGCACGAAAGCGUGGGGAGCAAACAGGAUUAGAUACCCGUGUAGUC